Molecule: ribosomal RNA, 497 nt
Filed under: uncultured bacterium
Lineage: Bacteria
Description: partial 16S ribosomal RNA
Rfam family: Bacterial small subunit ribosomal RNA
Source: RNAcentral
GACGAACGCUGGCGGCGUGCCUAAUACAUGCAAGUUGAGCGCUGAAGGUUGGUACUUGUACCAACUGGAUGAGCAGCGAACGGGUGAGUAACGCGUGGGUAAUCUGCCUUUGAGCGGGGGACAACAGUUGGAAACGAAUGCUAAUACCGCAUAAAAACUUUAAACACAAGUUUUAAGUUUGAAAGAUGCAAUUGCAUCACUAAAAGAUGAUCCCGCGUUGUAUUAGCUAGUUGGUGAGGUAAAGGCUCACCAAGGCGAGGAUACAUAGCCGACCUGAGAGGGUGAUCGGCCCCAUUGGGACUGAGACACGGCCCAAACUCCUACGGGAGGCAGCAGUAGGGAAUCUUCGGCAAUGGACGAAAGUCUGACCGAGCAACGCCGCGUGAGUGAAGAAGGUUUUCGGAUCGUAAAACUCUGUUGGUAGAGAAGAACGUUGGUGAGAGUGGAAAGCUCAUCCAGUGACGGUAACUACCCAGAAAGGGACGGCUAACUACGUG